CUACCAAAUAGGAAAGAACAAAAAAAGGAACAACACAGAAAGAAGAAAGCGCAAAGAAAAGAAUGGGGAAAUAGGAGAAGAGGAAAAAGAAAAAAAAAGAAAUCGAUAGGGAGAGAAGAGUAUAAGAGGCUGAGCACGGAGGGACCAAAAAGUACGAUCGCCGUUGUGGCGCAACGAAGACGUCAGAGGUUUGAGUUUUUAGUUUAUUCUCUCUCAGAUCAGAACAUUAUUUUAGUAUAACAACAACAAAUUUCAUUUUUUCAUUCAUAACUCAUUUUAUAUAUUACAUUUGGUAACAAAUACAAUUAUUAUAGAGUAAAGAUGAAAGAAAUACAAUAAUCUUUCUUCUGUUUGCUUUUCUCUCCUAUUACUCUUCUUAUUUUCUUCUUCUUAUUUUUAAGUAUUUUUGUUGGUAUCCGAUUUUUCUUGGUUGAUGGAUUUUUUUCUCUCAAUUUAUAGAUUAAAGUAACGAAACAUUGUGUCAUGAGACAAGAUUCAGUCUCGGUUUUUAUAUUGUUUUCGCAACAAAAACAAGUAACCUUUCCUAAGUAUAGAAACAUACAACUCAUCUUUCUGAUUGAGUAUAAAAGUAGUGAAGAUAAUGAAUUUUUAAGACAAAAGAAGAAAUAGGAAGGAAGCUGAAAAACUGGAGGGGAUUGAGCUAGAGUUAAAAUUUCGUUUUCUAUUUUAGAGAACAUGUAACUCGUCUUUUUGUUUGAGUAUAGAAUUAGUGAAAAUAAUAAACUUUUUAUGACAAACAAAAAAAAAACUGAAAUAAUGGAAUGGGCUAUGAAGUUGUAAAGUACUGUCUUUGCCUUUAUUUUAUUAUGUUUUUGGGCUAUAAAAUAUUUGUUAAGUCAAACAAAAAGAAAGAUAUUCACACAAUACAUGAGAGUGAGUAAUAUUUAUACUAUUUUUUUUUAAUAUUCUUUUUUUUUCAAUGCUGUUAAGAACAUGUCUUUGUCCAUUAUAUUUGAAUCAACGAGUAAACAAGAAACGACAAUAUUAACUUAUUAAUUAAUUGCAUAGGUGUUGAAUGAAUUCACAUGGAAAGCAAGAAAAAGUGAGCAAAAUAGUGUUCAAAGAUGUUCUCUCCGACAUUCUAAUGGUAUGGCUGUUGGACUUAAACGUUAAUCAUUCGCAUUAAUGGAGAAGAUCUUCUUGAAUUUGUGAAUGGUUCUUCGCAUUAAUGGAGAAGAUCUUCUUGAGUUUGUUAAUGGUUCAAGAAGAUGUUCUUUAUAUUUUUUUCUAUGUUAAUUCGAAUUGAAUUAUGAUGAUUGUUUUUGCUAAUUAGUUUAUCCGGAUAGAUCUUGUAUUUUCAUGAUGAUGUUUGCUUGUUUGUUAGUACUUGCUCGUUAUCUUUUGAUAGUAAGGUUGAGUAAAAAUAAACAUAUUACUUUAUUAUAUUUUUUUGGAAUUAUUUUCUACGGGACAAAAUUGAGGUUUUACA
This 1450-nucleotide long non-coding RNA is filed under the name Cicer arietinum (chickpea). Its description in RNAcentral is "long non-coding RNA (CARI_LNC001973)". The record is from RNAcentral. Lineage: Eukaryota; Viridiplantae; Streptophyta; Magnoliopsida; Fabales; Fabaceae.